Molecule: ribosomal RNA, 916 nt
Filed under: uncultured bacterium
Lineage: Bacteria
Description: bacterial SSU rRNA
Rfam family: Bacterial small subunit ribosomal RNA
Source: RNAcentral
UUGUUGGUAAGGUAAAAGCUUACCAAGGCUUCGAUCAGUAGCUGGUCUGAGAGGACGACCAGCCACACUGGGACUGAGACACGGCCCAGACUCCUACGGGAGGCAGCAGCGGGGAAUUUUGGACAAUGGGGGCAACCCUGAUCCAGCCAUGCCGCGUGAGUGAAGAAGGCCUUCGGGUUGUAAAGCUCUUUCAGCCGGAACGAAACGGUUACGGAUAAUACCCGUGACUACUGACGGUACCGGAAGAAGAAGCACCGGCUAACUACGUGCCAGCAGCCGCGGUAAUACGUAGGGUGCAAGCGUUAAUCGGAAUUACUGGGCGUAAAGCGUGCGCAGGUGGUUUUGUAAGUCAGAUGUGAAAGCCCCGGGCUCAACCUGGGAACUGCGUUUGAAACUACAAGACUAGAGUGUGGCAGAGGGGGGUGGAAUUCCGCGUGUAGCAGUGAAAUGCGUAGAGAUGUGGAGGAACACCGAUGGCGAAGGCAGCCCCCUGGGUUAACACUGACACUCAGGCACGAAAGCAUGGGGAGCAAACAGGAUUAGAUACCCUGGUAGUCCAUGCCCUAAACGAUGUCAACUAGUUGUCGGGCCUUUACGGGCUUGGUAACGUAGCUAACGCGUGAAGUUGACCGCCUGGGGAGUACGAUCGCAAGAUUAAAACUCAAAUGAAUUGACGGGGACCCGCACAAGCGGUGGAUUAUGUGGAUUAAUUCGAUGCAACGCGAAAAACCUUACCUACCCUUGACAUGUAUCGAAGCCCGCAGAAAAGCGGGGGUGCCCGAAAGGGAACGAUAACACAGGUGCUGCAUGGCUGUCGUCAGCUCGUGUCGUGAGAUGUUGGGUUAAGUCCCGCAACGAGCGCAACCCUUGUCAUUAAUUGCCAUCAUUUAGUUGGGCACUUUAAUGAGACUGCCGG